RNAcentral lists this ribosomal RNA (492 nucleotides) under uncultured bacterium. Its description in RNAcentral is "partial 16S ribosomal RNA". It matches the Rfam family "Bacterial small subunit ribosomal RNA", at positions 29 to 507 of the family's 1533-position model. The record is from RNAcentral.
AGUGAACGCUGGCGGUAGGCCUAACACAUGCAAGUCGAACGGCAGCACAGUAAGAGCUUGCUCUUACGGGUGGCGAGUGGCGGGCGGGUGAGGAAUACAUCGGAAUCUACUUUUUCGUGGGGGAUAACGUAGGGAAACUUACGCUAAUACCGCAUACGACCUACGGGUGAAAGCAGGGGAUCUUCGGACCUUGCGCGAUUGAAUGAGCCGAUGUCGGAUUAGCUAGUUGGCGGGGUAAAGGCCCACCAAGGCGACGAUCCGUAGCUGGUCUGAGAGAAUGAUCAGCCACACUGGAACUGAGACACGGUCCAGACUCCUACGGGAGGCAGCAGUGGGGAAUAUUGGACAAAGGGCGCAAGCCUGAUCCAGCCAUACCGCGUGGGUGAAGAAGGCCUUCGGGUUGUAAAGCCCUUUUGUUGGGAAAGAAAAGCAGCAGGUUAAUACCCCGCUGUUCUGACGGUACCCAAAGAAUAAGCACCGGCUAACUUCGUG